This 377-nucleotide ribosomal RNA is filed under the name uncultured bacterium. Its description in RNAcentral is "bacterial SSU rRNA". It matches the Rfam family "Bacterial small subunit ribosomal RNA", at positions 522 to 895 of the family's 1533-position model. The record is from RNAcentral.
AAGACAGAGGUGGCGAGCGUUACCCGGAUUCACUGGGCGUAAAGGGUGCGUAGGCGGUUGUGCGUGUCGUCGGUGAAAUCUCCCUGCUCAACGGGGAGAGGUCCGACGAAACUGCACGGCUGGAGGGCCGGAGAGGGAGGCGGAACUUCCGGAGUAGCGGUGAAAUGCGUAGAUACCGGAAGGUACCUCAAUAGCGAAGGCAGCCUCCUGGCCGGUUCCUGACGCUGAGGCACGAAAGCGUGGGGAGCAAACCGGAUUAGAUACCCGGGUAGUCCACGCCCUAAACGAUGCCGACUAGGUGAUGGCCUCGCACAUGCUGGGCCAGUGCCGCAGCUAACGCGAUAAGUCGGCCGCCUGGGGUGUACGGCCGCAAGGUU